RNAcentral lists this ribosomal RNA (492 nucleotides) under uncultured bacterium. RNAcentral's name for it is "bacterial SSU rRNA". It matches the Rfam family "Bacterial small subunit ribosomal RNA", at positions 29 to 518 of the family's 1533-position model. The record is from RNAcentral.
AUGAACGCUAGCGACAGGCUAACACAUGCAAGUCAGGGUAACAGGUAGCAAUACCGCUGACGACCGGCGCACGGGCGAGUAACGCGUAUGCAACCUGCCUAUAACUGGGGAAUAGCUCCCUGAAAGGGGAAUUAACACCGCAUAACACUAUUGAUUCGCAUGGAUUGGUAGUUAAAUGUAGCGAUACAGGUUAUAGAUGGGCAUGCGUGACAUUAGCUAGUUGGUGAGGUAACGGCUCACCAAGGCUACGAUGUCUAGGGGUUCUGAGAGGAAGGUCCCCCACACUGGUACUGAGACACGGACCAGACUCCUACGGGAGGCAGCAGUGAGGAAUAUUGGUCAAUGGGCGCAAGCCUGAACCAGCCAUGUCGCGUGCAGGAAGACUGCCCUAUGGGUUGUAAACUGCUUUUAUAGUAGAAGAAACACAUCUACGUGUAGAUGUCUGCCAGUAUACUAUGAAUAAGCAUCGGCUAACUCCGUGCCAGCAGCCGC